This 78-nucleotide transfer RNA is filed under the name Dallia pectoralis (Alaska blackfish). RNAcentral describes it as "tRNA-Thr". It matches the Rfam family "tRNA". From Rfam's summary of the family: Transfer RNA (tRNA) molecules are approximately 80 nucleotides in length. The record is from RNAcentral. Lineage: Eukaryota; Metazoa; Chordata; Actinopteri; Esociformes; Umbridae.
GGAGCAGUUGGUAGCUCAGUGGUAGAGUGCGUGCUUUGUGUGUGUAUGAUGUCCUGGGUUCAAAUCCCAGCUGCUCCC